This 417-nucleotide unclassified non-coding RNA is filed under the name soil metagenome. RNAcentral describes it as "partial contains 5.8S ribosomal RNA, internal transcribed spacer 2, and large subunit ribosomal RNA". The stretch from base 5 to 119 matches the Rfam family "5.8S ribosomal RNA", at positions 40 to 154 of the family's 154-position model. The record is from RNAcentral.
GAUGAGAACGCAGCGAAAUGCGAUAAGUAAUGUGAAUUGCAGAAUUCAGUGAAUCAUCGAAUCUUUGAACGCACCUUGCGCUCCUUGGUAUUCCAAAGAGCAUGCCUGUUUGAGUAUCAUUAAAUUAUCAACUGUACCAAUUUGGUUGCAGAUUGGAUGUGGGAGAUUUUGCAGGCUUUUGAUUUCUCUUUGAGAAAACGGUCAGCUCUCCUGAAAUAUAUUAGCAGUGCCUUUGUUGGUUCAUUAGGUGUGAUAAUUUAUCUACAUCUUCACAUGGUACCUUCAUUUGUGUAAAGGUCAUAUUGCUUCUAAUUGUCUUUGGACAUAAAAAAAAAAAAACAUAUAAUUGUAUGGAAAACUUGAUCUCAAAUCAGGCAGGACUACCCGCUGAACUUAAGCAUAUCAAUAAGCGGAGGA